Molecule: RNA transcript, 9738 nt
Organism: Hemibagrus wyckioides
Lineage: Eukaryota; Metazoa; Chordata; Actinopteri; Siluriformes; Bagridae
Gene name: collagen alpha-1(XXV) chain
Exons: 32
Source: RefSeq, a predicted model, not a curated record
UGAGCUAGUUUGUUGACACACAUUUGUGUUUAAAUAUUGUGUAUUGCCAUUGAGAAUGAGUUUGCAAACCCUAAUAUUUUCUCUCAAACCCCAACAGGGUCCGCCAGGUCCGAAAGGUGAGAAGGGAGAUCAAGGAGACCAGGGACCGCGGGUAUGUGGUCUUCUCUAGCAUGCGCUUAUUUUAUUUUAUUUUUUGAUGUGUUGAUAAAUCUGUGUUAUGUCUGGGAUAUUAAAUGCAUGGAAUGUUUCAGAUGCAUGAGUUCUUUGUGGACAGUUCAUACUUAAGCUUUCCAAGCAUAACAAAGCUGCCCUAGAAUAAGUCAAGCAGACACAAGAGAGUUGAACUAUAAACACCUGAGGUAGCCAUUAAGAAAGGUCAGUGCCCUCUGAUUGCUUCUGCGGGUCUGAGUGCCCUCUGCCGAGGAAGAGUGCCUGGAACAAAAACAAAUGUGUCAGAGUUUAUUGUAAUUUGAUAUAGCUGAAGCCUUUCUACUUCACAAUGACAUAUGAUCACUGAAGACUGAGAGCUCAUUGGAAGAAUGUAAUUAUUUCCAUCCCAGUUGUUUGACAUUUUGAUAAAUUCACACCUCUUAGAGAAUGAUUAUGAAGUCCACGCUUUGCCACAGCUGGCAAAUUAUUGAAUAAAUCACUCAGAUAUCUCAUUCCAAUAUCUGCUUGCAGGGAUUCAUCUAACUGUGACUGACUUAUUAAGUCUAUCUGUCUUUAUUGCAUUACGCGUCUGCUCUUCUCCUACUCUCUGAUCCUCACUGCCUUUUCUUUAUAUUCAUCAUUGUCUUGGAUAGACUCCAGAAGGGAACCAGGCACUAAAAGUGUCUCUAAUUAAUUUGCCCCACAUGUGGGUGCACAUUGAGGUUAACUUGAACACAGCCAUCAGCCCAAUACCAAACAUCUUCAUCACCUGUGACACUGUCGCAUAUGUCCCUGAGUUGCAAGCCCAUACCAGCUUCCUGAUUGUGGUUUACUGUCUAUCACUAUGAGUCUCCUGCUCCUUGAAAAUUAGAUUUAUACUCUAACCACAAAACCCACUUCAUAUGAGUUACUGCACACACAGAAGCUUUUGGUAAGUUGUGUUCUGUGUCAUUUAGUUUUUAAUUGUAUAAUGAAGUAUUUGGAUAAUAAGAUGAUGGAUAAUGUGAAUGAUUUACAUUUCACAAACUUAUCCAAGAUUUAUAUGACUUGAGCACUAAAUAUCCAAGGUACUGUGUCUGAUGAACCUCCCAGACAAAACACACCGUGCAGGCUACUUUUCUGUGAGUCAUAAUUACAAGAAUGAGAUGCUGGCUUAUUGUUGUUAUUAUUAUUAUUUCACUGAGUCAUAUAAUUAUGUGAAAGUCAUCAUCUUGACUAUGGAAAUGGGUUUUAUUUUUUACAUGAGCUGUCUGAGCUACACUGAGCUGUCUACAUAGGUAGAGAAAGAAAAUGUAUUUAAAGGAAUACAGAGAUACAAAAGAAUAGGAAACCAAUAUUCAGAAGUGUGUGUGCUUAAAGAGAAGUAACAAUACUUACUGUUACUAGCUAGGCGUGCAAAAAUGUGACAUAUUUUAUGUAGAUAUGUGCUUUUUAUAAUGUAAUGAAAUUUAAAAGUAAUAAAGAUUGUACUAAAAAGUAGAUUAGUUUAUUACUUUAGUUAUUUUGACCAGAACAUGAUACAUCACUUUUCAGAAGAACUGAUGAGUUUGCGCUUAAUGGAAAACAUAACAAAAUGAGAUGACUGAUGAACACCCAUCCCUCACACACCAACUCAUAUUCCUUAGUUAAGAGGUUGAAAGUUCAAAGAAUGAAUCAACAGCAAAUAAUACAGCCUGAAGUGAAUAGUACGUGUUGAAUCAAACUUGAAUCAAUUUUUUGGUUCUGUCAUUGACGGGACGUGUGUAAUUUAUACAGUUCCCUAUUGACGCUUUUCUUUAAGCGCUACAAAGGGGAGUCCAGUCCUGGUAGCUAUAUUUUGUGUAGUCCUGCAGAUAUACAACUCAAGAUGAGCUCUUUUACUGCCAUAGAGUUAAGAUCUUGGGUCUUAUCCAGUAUGAAAUCUCUCCACAAAUGUCAGAAGAAUUAUUCAAUGUUAAAGAUCUGAAAAGCUAUUCCAGGACAAAGAGUUUUGCAUGCUAUGAUUCAGAAGCCAAGAUGUCUUUAAAAAUAAACUGAUUUAAAAUCAGUCUGAUGAGGUUUGUAAAAUACAUGACAAGCCAAGUAUACCGAGCCACCUUCAGGAUUCAAUCAAUACACUUAUUUAAAUUUAUUGAAACCAUCUGCCCUCAAAUAUAGAUAAUCAUUUCAUGGCGACUAAACUUUUGUCUCUCGGUGCAAAAGAGGACAAAAAAAAAAGAAAGAUGAAGAUAAGUAGAAGGGACAUUAACUUUAGCACUGGCUGCUGCACACAACAUAAAUGCACACAGAACAGCUCAAAUCUGCAUGUAACGAAUGAUGUUAAACUGGGCAUAAACACUGUGGUUAAAAGAGUUGGAUAUUUUAGAACAAAAAUACUUCAACUGAACUGUUGUAGUCAAGCAAAAUGUCAGAUAAAUGUAAGGUAAUCCAGAUUAUAGGUGUAAUGUCAUCAUUACUGUAAAGGGCAAUUCAGAUUGUUAUCAUUGCAUUUGUUCAGUUUUGAGCCCAGAAAAAGUACCGCUUGCUCUCAGUCAAAAUCCAAACUAUUUGCUGAUCAUUAAGAAUCUUUAUCAACCAUAUUAAUUGUUCGAGUAUGCAGUGGGAUUAUGAGGACUAUAAAGCUCCAUACUAAAUUUAAAAGUAAUUUAAUGAGACAUUGUGAAGCUACUUUUCUUUGACUAAGGAGAAAAGUGAUGAAGAAAAGUGAAAACCAAACUCUUCUUUGGUUGAGUCAUGUCAGACAUUUUUCUUCCCGCUGCUAAGGGCAUUAUUGUAACACAGGGACAGUUACAGUGAGGUUGAUGGUGCAACCCUGUGGCCAAAGUAAUGGUACAUAAGCCCAGCUUAUAUUAGCCACAGUCUUCUUAUAAAAUGUAGUGGGAUCAGUGCAAAGUCCCACUGACUCCAGGCAAAUUGAUCAAGCUUAUUGUAAAACUAACAGAUUGAAGCGAAGGCAACACUCCAGCUUUAGUUGAGCGCUACAUAACUCAAAAGGCCUAGACAGUAUUUCUGUCAGAGGAGCUCUCAGUGAUCCUCUUGAGCUUGCUCCCAGUUUUAUGCUCAGGAUGUCUGUGGUUGUUAGUAACUCAUUCUGUAGUAAUGUCUCAUUAGUUAGAUUUAUUAUAAUUUUGUUUGAAAGAGUAUCCUCUUCACAUAUUCACUGAAACAGUAGACAGCUGUUUCCUGAGCUAUACUUUUUAAAAUAACCUAUGCCAUUUCAAUUACUUCCCAAACAUGCUAAGAUGGAAUAUCCCAUAAACAUGGUAUUUCCCCCAUGUUUUUAUGACAACCAUUUAAAAACCACUGUUCAACUAAUUGCUGGAAUUUUUUUUUAGCAUACAUAUACCAGACUUUUAGGUUGUGUUGGGAUGACAGAGCAGACAUAAAAAUAUAUGGUCACAUUUUUCCUGGAAAAUCAUUUCGUUCUAAAUAAACAUUUAAACCAUUUUAAAAGAAUUGUCACACAAAACAGAUGGGCAGAUACAGAGUCAUGCACCAGACAUGGAAAGUCUGGCACUUAUUAUUAUUAUUUGACUGAUCUUAUUUUUUAUUUUAAAUAUAUAGUUUAGUUGAUAUGCACCUCAAGCCCCUAUACAGGCAUUAUGUCUUUACCCUUGAAUUUGAUACAGUGCUACAGAGAUUUGUGUGGUGGUGUACACAAUCCAUGUUAUCAUUUUGUGUGGUUGUUGUUUUUGUUAUGCCAUUUUGUCCCCAGGGACUUCCUGGUGUGCCCUCCAUGGCUGCAUUGCACAGCAAUCAAAUCCUGACUGUAAAGGGUGAUCAGGGUCAAACAGGCCCUCCAGGACCUCCUGGACCUCCAGGUCCUCCUGGUCCCAGAGGACCUCCAGGGGACACAGGAAAGGAUGGCCCCAGGGGAGCUCCAGGGCUACCAGGUGACCCAGGAACUCCAGGAGAGCUGGGCCCUGCGGGACCAGAGGGCCCUCCAGGACUCAAGGGUUCCAUUGGGCCAUCUGGCAUUCCAGGUAUUGAUGGAUUGAAGGGGGAGGUGGGUAUUCCCGGAUUAGAUGGAAUCCCUGGUGCCAAGGGUGACAAAGGAGAGCAAGGCGAAAAGGGUGACAUGGGAGAAGAGGGGCCAAAAGGCGAUGUUGGUGAGAAGGGUGAUGCAGGGUCUUCUGCUGCUGGCAUUAAGGGAGAACCUGGUGAACCUGGACGAAGUGGGCAAAAGGGAGAACCAGGACUUCCAGGGCUGCCUGGACUUCCCGGAAUAAAGGGUGAACCUGGAUUUCUCGGCCCACAGGGUGAGCCAGGGCUGCCAGGACUACCUGGAACCAAGGGAGAACGAGGAGAGCUGGGACCUCCAGGAAAGGGUGAACGUGGAGAGACAGGCCCAGUUGGACCAAAGGGAGCACAAGGGGAGCCAGGAACACCAGGCCUCAAAGGGUCUAAGGGGGACACUGGAGACAAAGGAGAUGUUGGACUUAGAGGUCCCACAGGUCCAGCUGGAGAGAAAGGUGACCAGGGCACAACUGAAAUAAUUGACUACAACGGAAACAUCCAAGAAGCGCUUCAGAAGAUAACCACUAUUACAGUGACGGGUCCCCCUGGGCCUCCUGGACCAGUUGGACCACAGGGCUUUAAGGGAGAUCAAGGUCCUCCAGGUCUUCCAGGGCUUGAUGGAGAGAGGGGUCACAAGGGUUCAAAAGGAGACAUGGGAAUGCCAGGAAUGUCUGGCGAUAAGGGAUCUGUAGGUCUGCCUGGCCUACCAGGUACCAAUGGUCAGAAAGGAGAAAAGGGUGAUGCUGGUUUGCCUGGACCUCAAGGACCAUCUAUUAUAGGCCCUCCUGGGGCACUCGGUCCACAUGGUCCACCUGGUCCAAUGGGCCCUCAUGGAUUCCCUGGACAAAAGGGGGAAGCAGGUUUGCCUGGUUUAAAGGGAGCACGCGGAGAGCCCGGGCCCAAGGGUGACCGUGGACCCCUGGGCCUCCCUGGAGCAUCUGGCUUGGAUGGCAAGCCGGGAUUAAGGGGUACAGAUGGCCCAGUUGGUGCUCCUGGUCCUGCUGGCCCUAAAGGAGAUAGAGGUGAAAAAGGUGUUACAGGUGAACCUGGACCAAGAGGACCAUAUGGAUUACCUGGUGCUGCAGGGACACCUGGCUUGGAUGGGUUACCAGGCUUAAGGGGAGAGAAGGGCGACGUGGGGGAAAGAGGAGAAAAGGGUUUCCGGGGCUUUAAGGGUGAAAAGGGCGAGCCAGGCCAGCCUGGUCUGGAUGGGCUGGAUGCCCCGUGCCAAUUGGUACAGUAUCCUCUUUUCCUAUCCUCUCCUGUGCAUGCCACCAUUCUCUGUGUCCUCACUAUGGCGUGGCUCCCUCAUGCUUUCAUGGCAUAAUGUCAACCGUGCCAGGCUGUUCUUCAACAUGCAUGACUGGCUUAUGAUUUGAGUGGGAAAAUAUUAGAAAAGUUACUCUAUUACUCAUCCGUCUGAUUCAUACCACGCAUGUGCUUCUUAUCACAUACUCAACUGCUUUAAAUUGCUUGGUUUUGUGCAGUGCAUUCAUCUUUAAUAGCACAGCAUUUACUAUCAGACAUGCUUACACUAUUAGUGAUCUUUUUGCUUCUCAAUAAUAAAACACGCAGGCAAACCCAAGAGACACAAUAUUAUAUUUAUCAGCCAUAUGGAAUGUCAAUAGCAACUUCCUAAUCAUCAUGAACAUAACCCUUUUGAUUGAGACCCUUUCCUUGUCAUUUUGAUUAAAUGGUGGAAUUCAUAUAAAUUCCAUUUAGCAGAAUAUUACACAUAGAACACUGACUAACCUGCGCCCUGUAACUUGAUAAUACUGUACUUGAAUUUCAUUGCAUUAGCAGCAUGGAUCUAGUCUUCAUAUUCCUACUUACCUUUCUACCUGUUCCAGUUUGGCACAGCAGAAACAAGGAUAUAUUCAGCCCAUGGCUCCUCCUGCACCAUUUUUUAAAGUUUUGGCUCCUUUGUAAACCUUAAUGUAGCUAGUGAUUAAACAUAAAUUAUGCUCUUGCAUGUAGGUAGGUUAUUAGAUAUCAUGUUCUUCUUACUUUAAGUACACUUUGUUGCCAAAUGUUUCAUUUGCCUUUAUUUUAUUUUAUUUCUUUUAAUAUUAUCAGAUAGCAUAUACAAUGAUUUUUUUAGAGGUGGUUUUACAUGUGCUCAUUUAUAAAUGUGGUGUUAUAUGUGAAUAUCACAUCUUAUGUCUUUUAUUGCAUGCACCAGUUGUUUGUGUGUCCUUUGUAAAAGAAAAGGUUUGGAAAACUAGAAAAUAACUAAAGAUGUUGUGGAAAGUCACUUAUAACUUAGGAAACUGUUUAAUAACUGUUUAAUUUUCUUAUUCCUUGCCACAAUAGGGGCCAGAUGGAUUACCAAUGCCUGGCUGCUGGCAAAAGUGAACAGUCUAACUCAAACCGCAUGGAAUUUGUAAAUAAUGCUUCAUUAUUGUAUUUAUAGUUUGUAUUUUUAAUUGUGAAGAAGAAUAUAAAUGGAUCUUAAUAUAAAUGUGUGUACACUGUGGGGUAAAAGUGAAAAGAUCAUGAGCCUCACCACACCCAACUGCUUCUACUCACGUUUGUGCUGUCAUGGCGGUGUGUGUCACAUUCCCAUAAAGCAUUGUGGAGUUUAUAUCAUGUUUGUGAUCCACUAAGAGACUGUUGAAAACAAGGACAGGUUUGCAUGGUCCUUGGGAGACGAGUGGAUACAGAAAUGGACUAAUGAGGUGAAAGGCAAAAGUGGAAGAGUAAGAGGAGGCGAUGGAGAGAUCAGGACUUGCUCAAGAUCUAAAUAUCUAUCAUCCCAUCAUGUUGUACUACCAGCUCAAAAGACUAAAGACUGUCCACACAUCCUAAAAGAAGCAUGUAAAUAUCACGUUGUGCUGCAAUCAAAAUGCUAUGGCUUCUGCAGAGCACUAACUGGCUGUUUUUACUUUGUCUAAUAAGGAAUAUUUGGCCCUGAUGUUUAAUUUACUUUUUGUCAUCUUCUCAAGGGAGUCACACCUUGGCUGGUGGCGUAAGAGAAUCAUUUAAAUGGAGGUAGAAUGAGAUUGUGAGGUUUCUUUUAUUGUUAAGAGGUCAGUUCCUUCAGCACUUCAGGAUUUCACUCCUUGAUCGUCGUGAAUUACUGGAAUGAACAGUGAACUGUAAUCACAGGAUGAGUGGAAGAAAGAAGCAGCUGCAGCACUGUCUUCAUCUAAUCCUGGCUCAGAUGGCAGAUCAGAAACUCCAACCUAUAUGCACUUUAUUGCAGUAUGUGCAAAAGGAUGGAGAUUUCCAACACCUGUCCCAUCAUCAGGAAUGACGCGUCUGUAUUCCUCUAUAUAUGUAUAUAUAUAGUGAUUUACAUCCUUUGUUAUUCAGUUAUUCAAUUGUGGUCAUUCCUUUACCAUUUAUUUUUGUUUUGACACAGAAUUUUCACACAGAAUGACGAAUUGCAUAAUAUACAGUAUUUCAGCUGAUAUAUGUCGCAAGCAGAUGAUGACAAAGAAAUACAGGAUUUUCUUUCUUUGUAGCAUUUUUUUAUGGUUUUAAUCUAACUGAUGUUCAUGCAUGUCAUAGGUUAAAUGAAAUAGUGUCCCUUGCCCCUAUAAACUUUGACAACUUUUAGGGAGUGCAUGUUUUUUUUCUGAAGCUAGCAGUUCUGUUAGUCAUCACUCUGAACGCCAUUUAAGAAGAUGAUUUAUUUUUACAUUGUGUGCAAUUAAAUUUGCACAAAUGUUGAAUUACACAAACUUUUACAAUUCAAAGGUCCAGCAGACAGGGGGCAGCACUGAUUUUAUAUAUAUAUAUAUAUAUAUAUAUAUAUAUAUAUAUAUAUAUAUAUAUAUAUAUAUAUAUAUAUAUAUAUAAUUAUUAUUAUUAAUGUUGUCUGUCAUCAUUGUUAUAUGCUAUAACAUUCCAGAGCCAUUGCAAAGUUUCUGAGAAAUGCAGCCCUGCAGUUCUGUAGUAUUGCUUUAGCCACGUGAUGACAGUCGAAUACACACUUAGGCUGCACUGUGUUUGAUGGAGCAAUUGCUUUGACUGCGUAUGUAUUGGCAUUUCUGAACGGUCUGUUGGGCAAUUCAAUUUUGUUUGUGUAUUUGUAUAUACAGUUUAUAUUCAAGCUAACUGAAACAUUUGCAUUAGCCUUUAUACUUUGAAGUAAUGCGAUGUUUGUUUUAUACUUAAAGCAUAUUGCUGGAAAACAGAGGCAUUCCUUGUAACAUGAGGUAGCUUUGAAGGUCUUUUUACCUUUCAGUAUUAUUCAUGUAUGGUGGAGUUCUGCACUGAAAUGCGAAGCAAUCUGAAUGGACGUAAUGCUUCAUUAUGCUUCAAAACUUCACUCAUUUGAAUCUUGGAGAUGGUUGGUUACCAUGGUUGCAUUACACCACACUGCAGCACCGUUUAAGUUGGGCUGCUUACUUUCAGUCAUAUGUUAAGCAAUCACUUUGGUCUUGCUGUUAUUCAUAGUUUAAGUCAAAAAAGGGAUUGAUAAGUAAGAAAAUGCCACAUGCAGUUUUCACAGGCUGUGGGUAAUAUAGCCCCACUCCCUUUCUCAUACUUAUUGUUCAAUGAAUGUAGAAUAAUUAUAUGUAUAAUGUGUGGGUUAAAUAUUUGCUCAUUAGACAAAAGUGCAAUUUAUACUUUUCUUGUACAGUAUGUAUUGAUUUGUGAACCAUAUUCAGUAUAUGAAUACAAAUGUCAAUUACACCCAUUUAUUGUAAGUUAUAAGAGGUAUUUUAAUCACUUUUACAUUGGCACUGGUGAUUCCAACAUUUUCCAAGAGUAUGGUGUGGAUGUGAAGAAGGUUGAGUGUUGUGUCAAGCAUAUUUUCUUUACUUUUUUUUUUUUAAUUCAGAUAUGGCAAAUUCUUUUGUUGUGUUGAGCUGUCAUUUUACACUUCAUUUUUGAGAACGUGAGAGCCGAAUGCAUCUUCUGUUAACUUUAUUUCUUUCAAUAUUUGCAUAAAAACACUUUUCUAUACAUUUCAACAUUGGUGCUGUUUAAAUUCAUACUUUUUUUGUUAUUGUUGUUUAUUUGCUUGGUGUCAUAAUAUGUCUUGAAAAUUCCACUUUUCAUAAAUGGUUACUUUUGAAUUGACAUUUUUUUGUGUGUGUCUAGAGUUUUGUCUGGUACUUUCUACACUAUUUAGUUUACUUUUUCCAGAAAGCACUAGGCAAUAAUUUAACUGAUUUUUUUAUUUUAUUAUUAUUAUUAUUUUAGUUUUAAAUAUGAGAAACACACGAGAUGAGUUAAAUGUUAUGAUGAUGUGUUGAUGGGUUUCUUGUAAAUAAUGCAUAUGAUAUUGGGUCUGGGAUUUUUUGGUCAUUUAGCAGAAUCAAACUUUACAGACAUACUUCAGUUCCACUUGGAGGACCACCUUCUGACUUCCAUGUGAAUGGAUGUGCAAGCUAAUUCUCUCUCUCUCUCUCUCUCUCUCUCUCUCCCUCCCUCUAUUUUACUUUUUAUUGACUUUUAUUCAUUAUUGACUUCCUGAUUUAAAAGAAAAAUGUUCAUUUUCUAAUUUCUUCAAUUGCCUCAUGUUGUUAAUGAGUGUCCAUAAAAGGCUCAAUUCAUUUCAAGUACGUUUUAUGUGACAGUGCUGUUGAGCCAAAUAAACUCCUCCAAAUAUCUGCAGCAGUGCUUUUGUUUCUUCUU